Molecule: long non-coding RNA, 690 nt
Organism: Sitophilus oryzae (rice weevil)
Lineage: Eukaryota; Metazoa; Arthropoda; Insecta; Coleoptera; Curculionidae
Exons: 5
Source: RefSeq, a predicted model, not a curated record
GGCACGUUGCCCUGACAACGGCUUUUUGCGCCAAACAGCGAGUCUGUCUGUUGUGUUUAUCGUAGUGAUUACAGUUUCGCAGUGUUUUCUUAAAAUAUUUUAGAGAAGGUGUAUUUGAAAGAGUUUUUAGUGGUCAAAAUUAUCCAGUUACAUAUUUUUAGGGUUCCGUACGUCAACCCUCUCAAGGUGCAUUCCCCGUCGGUGCUGCUACCAUCGGAGAAUAUCGGAAACAACUAGGUGAAGUUUCUACAAGAAAAAAUGAUUGGUGAAAACUUUUCUGGACUAAAUAGCUCUGCUUCUGGUAAAUGUGUGGAAUCAUCAUUUCCUAAGAGAUCAGAGACAUCACAGACUAUCAGAGACAACUUUGGUAGCAGGAUUUUGGCAAGCAUAGGAAUGGAUUAAUUGUAAGGUGAAGUUCGGACAAGAAAAAUAUUGGUGAAAAUGUGCCUGUGGAUUAAUUAGCUCUACUUCUGAUAUGUGUGUGGAUUUGUGGAUUUAUCAUUUUCUCUCAGGGACAUCACAGGCCAUCGGAGGAAUUAAUUAAUUUUAAGACAUGGAUGGGAAUCAUCUUCUUGCGGGGAGGAAGAAGAAAGCAUAGAGCAUCUGCUGUGCCACUGUCCGGGACUGGAAUACCGACGCUGUCAAACUUUCGGGCAAGGUUUUUUUGGGGGUAUCGCAAUAUAACAGGGG